GAGGAAUAUUGCGCAAUGGAGGCAACUCUGACGCAGCCAUGCCGCGUGCAGGAAGAAGGCGCUACGCGUUGUAAACUGCUUUUAUCCGGGAAGAAACCCCUCCACGUGUGGAGGGUUGACGGUACCGGAGGAAUAAGCACCGGCUAACUUCGUGCCAGCAGCCGCGGUAAUACGAAGGGUGCAAGCGUUAUCCGGAUUCAUUGGGUUUAAAGGGUGCGUAGGCGGAACAAUAAGUCAGCGGUGAAAGCCCGUAGCUUAACUACGGAAUUGCCGUUGAUACUGUUGUUCUUGAGGACGCUUGACGUGGGCGGAAUGUGCCGUGUAGCGGUGAAAUGCUUAGAUAUGGCACAUAACACCGAUAGUGAAGACAGCUCACGAAGGCGAAACUGACGCUGAGGCACGAAAGCGUGGGGAUCAAACA
Molecule: ribosomal RNA, 421 nt
Filed under: uncultured bacterium
Lineage: Bacteria
Description: bacterial SSU rRNA
Rfam family: Bacterial small subunit ribosomal RNA
Source: RNAcentral